This 460-nucleotide ribosomal RNA is filed under the name uncultured bacterium. RNAcentral's name for it is "partial 16S ribosomal RNA". It matches the Rfam family "Bacterial small subunit ribosomal RNA", at positions 338 to 795 of the family's 1533-position model. The record is from RNAcentral.
CCUACGGGUGGCAGCAGUGAGGAAUAUUGGGCAAUGGGCGCUAGCCUGAACCAGCCAAGCCGCGUGAAUGAUGACUGCCCUAUGGGUUGUAAACUUCUUUUAUAUGGGAAUAAAGUGCAGUAUGUAUACAGCUUUGCAUGUAGGUUAUGAAUAAGGAUCGGCUAACUCCGUGCCAGCAGCCGCGGGAAUACGGAGGAUCCGAGAGUUAUCCGGAUUUAUUGGGUUUAAAGGGAGCGUAGGCGGGUUGAUAAGUCAGUUGUGAAAGUUUGCGGCUCAACCGUAAAAUUGCAGUUGAUACUGGCAUCCUUGAGUACAGUAGAGGUAGGCGGAAUUCGUGGUGUAGCGGUGGAAUGCUUAGAUAUCACGAAGAACUCCGAUUGCGAAGGCGGCCUGCUGGACUGUAACUGACGCUGAGGCUCGAAAGUGUGGGUAUCAAACAGGAUUAGAUACCCGAGUAGUC